RNAcentral lists this ribosomal RNA (501 nucleotides) under uncultured bacterium. RNAcentral describes it as "partial 16S ribosomal RNA". It matches the Rfam family "Bacterial small subunit ribosomal RNA", at positions 30 to 523 of the family's 1533-position model. The record is from RNAcentral.
AUUGAACGCUGGCGGCAGGCUUAACACAUGCAAGUCGAGCGGGGGAAGGUAGCUUGCUACCGGACCUAGCGGCGGACGGGUGAGUAAUGCUUAGGAAUCUGCCUAUUAGUGGGGGACAACAUCUCGAAAGGGAUGCUAAUACCGCAUACGCCCUAUGGGAGAAAGCAGGGGAUCUUCGGACCUUGCGCUAAUAGAUGAGCCUAAGUCGGAUUAGCUAGUUGGUGGGGUAAAGGCCUACCAAGGCGACGAUCUGUAGCGGGUCUGAGAGGAUGAUCCGCCACACUGGGACUGAGACACGGCCCAGACUCCUACGGGAGGCAGCAGUGGGGAAUAUUGGACAAUGGGGGGAACCCUGAUCCAGCCAUGCCGCGUGUGUGAAGAAGGCCUUAUGGUUGUAAAGCACUUUAAGCGAGGAGGAGGCUACUUUAGUUAAUACCUAGAGGUAGUGGACGUUACUCGCAGAAUAAGCACCGGCUAACUCUGUGCCAGCCGCCGCCGUAA